This 496-nucleotide ribosomal RNA is filed under the name uncultured bacterium. RNAcentral describes it as "partial 16S ribosomal RNA". It matches the Rfam family "Bacterial small subunit ribosomal RNA", at positions 29 to 507 of the family's 1533-position model. The record is from RNAcentral.
AUGAACGCUGGCGGCGUGCCUAAUACCUGCAAGUCGAGCGCACAGAUGAGGAGCUUGCUCCUCUGACGUUAGCGGCGGACGGGUGAGUAACACGUGGAUAACCUACCUAUAAGACUGGGAUAACUUCGGGAAACCGGAGCUAAUACCGGAUAAUAUAUUGAACCGCAUGGUUCAAUAGUGAAAGACGGUUUUGCUGUCACCUAUAGAUGGAUCCGCGCCGCAUUAGCUAGUUGGUAAGGUAACGGCUUACCAAGGCAACGAUGCGUAGCCGACCUGAGAGGGUGAUCGGCCACACUGGAACUGAGACACGGUCCAGACUCCUACGGGAGGCAGCAGUAGGGAAUCUUCCGCAAUGGGCGAAAGCCUGACGGAGCAACGCCGCGUGAGUGAUGAAGGUCUUCGGAUCGUAAAACUCUGUUAUUAGGGAAGAACAAAUGUGUAAGUAACUAUGCACGUCUUGACGGUACCUAAUCAGAAAGCCACGGCUAACUACGUG